This 5964-nucleotide long non-coding RNA is filed under the name Prunus persica (peach). RNAcentral's name for it is "long non-coding RNA (PPER_LNC007500)". The record is from RNAcentral. Lineage: Eukaryota; Viridiplantae; Streptophyta; Magnoliopsida; Rosales; Rosaceae.
AAAACACUAUAAAAGAAGAAGUUGCAGCUAAAGAAGGAACAAAUGGCGCUGAUUUUGAAGCCAAAAGCAAAAUCUUAGUAGAAGACUCAAAAAUCGAUGUGAAACCAAAGGUGGAAACAAGUUCUGGAAUUGGUGUUGACACAAACACCUCGAGGAUCGAUAGCGUUUCAGAAACUACACAGAGAGGCAGUUCAGUUUCAGAUUCUUAAUAGUAAAACAAAGGGUCAUUAACAUUACAGGUUUUUUUCCACACGCCGGAAGUAAAAAGAACAAAAGUAGAAAGUGACUUGAGGCACAUUCCUUGGUGAAUGACAUUGUACAAUCUAAUUCUGAAUUUGUUUUUGCACGUUGUUGACAUUUUCUUUGCCUACAAAAUGAGAAUGGGCGAUACUUUUAUACAAUCUGGUCCCAUGAAUUAUUGAACUUACUUUUGAAAUUGUCCCUUAAAUCUCGGGGUUUUUUUAAAUUUUUUUAAAGAAGUUUUCUUACAAGGUCUCAAUGGGAAACUGGGGGGCCCUUGUUACAAGGUUCCAACUUACAAGAGAUAUCUCAUUGUCAUAUUUCUAUUUACAGAGGAGCUGGCAACCACUAGCAAUGAAUUUUGUGUGUGGUGUAAACUAUGAUAGUACUACUGCAGGACUGUUAUGUGCAAAUUGAAAAUGAUGUUUUGGUCCCCUUCCAUGAUCUUCAACUUCUACCACAUCUUAGAUGUUAGGACAUCCUUGCAAAAGGAAAAGGGAAAAAACAAAAACAUUCAUUGUUAGCUUUCUUUCUUGUGUUGUGGUCUUGGAGACUUGGGAGUUCUUGCAAAACAGAAUGGCGAAUGAGAAACAAUUGAAAUGGGAAGGCAAGGCUAGUGCGGAGCUCAAUGGCCCAGAAGCAGAACAAGUGUGGCCUCUUUUGGAGGACUUCUUUGGCCUGCACAAGUGGUUCCCAACUCUCACAACUUGCCUUGGUGUUGAAGGCAUAUCAGGGCAACCCGGUUGUGUGCGCUACUGCGCUGGGUUCAAGACUCCUGUUGACCAUAAGAGAGAGCAAGACCAAGACCAAGAGAAGGUGAAUUGGACCAAGCAGAAGCUGCUUUCUAUAGACCCAGCACAACUGAUAUUUAGCUAUUCUAUUAUAGAUGGGAAUGUUGGGUUCAACUCAUACAUUUCAACUGUGCAAGUGGUUCCAAAGGAAGGUGGCUGCAGCAUCGUGUGGAAGUAUGAAGUUGAACCCGUGGAGGGGUGGAAAAUGGAGGAUCUGGACAUGUUUAUUGGCACAGGCUUGCAAGUCAUGGCUAGCAGAAUGGAAGCCUCUCUCCAACUCCAAGUUGGGCCACUGGAACCAUAGAGUCAUAACUUGUCUUGCUGUCCCUUGUUGGUGUGACUUUAUUUCUCUUGGCUCAGCAUUAAUAUUGUUGCAGAAAAGGUGUUAUGUGUGUUUUUCUGUGUCUGUUUUCUUCUUCUUCUUUUUUAUUUAUUUAUUUAAAUUUAAAGAUAUGUAUGUCGAUCCAUCAACUAUGUAAAAUCCUGCAGUAAAUUUUAUUUCCUUUUGAUAUCUUUGGAUAGGAAUUAGAAUAGAAGAAAACAUGUGGGUGUGGCUUGUGUUGUUCAUAAAUUAUAAUUUCCUUUUAUGUCUGAAUCAAAAUUUUCUUUUUAAAUUUUCACUAUUUCUCAGCCAUUAUAUUCAAUCGAAGUGGGAAAACAGAAAAUUGGAAGACUUACCAAAGACAAAGGUUAAUGAAGAAGUGGGUUUGUAUUAAUAUGGGAUAAGAGUUGAAGAAAGUGUGUUAGCUCCAUCAGUCCCAGUGCUUCUCAAUAAUGUUGGUAAUAUCAAGUUUAUUGCAGCUUCUAUGUGACUUACCAAAUUGCCUGUUGUAAUUUGGAGGAAGUAAACCAAAUGUCUGUAUGAAAACAGAAGAAAAAAACUCUCUAGUAGUAUUUUCAGCGAAUAUGCGACAGUUAGGCUUUUUAACAGCGGUUUUCGUCCUCUAGCAGCGGUGUCUGUACUUUUUUUGACGGUUUAUAUCUUGGGUCUUAAACAUCUUUAGUCGCGGUAAAAGUCGUCGCUAAGCGUUUCUAAAGACCUCUUUCACAGCGUUCUUGAUAACCGCCGCAAAAAGUUGGAAAAUAAUUAUAAUCCUCUCUCACGCAGGAAACUGGGAGGCGCAAAUGAAAAGAUAAAAAUAAAAACCUCCUUUUUAAUAUCUUUUAUGUAUAUAAACAUAUUACAUGAUAACAUUACUAAACGUUUAUUAAUUGGAUACAUGAAAAUGCCUGUAUGGGAUUGGAAAGAAAUUCAGUGCAAGUUUCUCAUGCCAUCCACAGUACAGAUGACUCCCACCGACAUGCCAGCAACUUCUUGCCUGUUAUCAUUGCUCAAUCCUUCUUUGAGAUGGUCUCUCUUAGAAAUUCCACACCAAUAAAAGUCAGAGCUGAAACUGGAUUAUUCUUAAUCCUAGGAAUGCUACCUCUGAGCAACCUCCUGUGCAUCGUCAGCCAUCCUUAUGCUACUUUGCAUAUAACAGCCAUUGUACCUAAAGUUCACAACAAACAUUAGACGGAAACUGUAAAAUCGUUCUUCUAUCACAUCUAACUUUCAUCCCAUGAGUUUGAAAUAUAUAUCAGGUCGAAAGGAAAGCUCAGUUUGAAAUAACAAUCAACACAAACUUUACCAAAGUACAUAUUUUCUGACUAUAGCCCAUCAAUUAUGUACCCAAUAUUUAAAAUAUUCUUAUCUGGCUAUGAGAUUCAACCAAAAUGGUGGGAAAAGGUGCAUUAUUGAUAAAACAACUACAGCAUUGUAAAAUCCCCUCAAUAAUCACAAAGGAUAAAUGGUGUUUGUGUCUGUGGACCAAGGUGGUCAACAUUCACAUACACAACAGCUGACACAAUACGAAUGCCAAGCCUUGCUCGGAUAACAUUAAGUACUCUAACAACACAACAUGAUGCUUGCAACAAAUUUUUUUUUUCCUACACUAAUAACUAAAAGUUAUAUGAAAGUAAAAAUAAUAAAAAUUAAAAACCACAUAUAGAACUGAUACCUCAAGGUUGAUCCCUGUACUUGCAAUCUUGUUUUGAUCACAUCGAAGGCACCGGUAAGAUAUUUGCAUAAUGCCUGACCAAUUCGAAGCAAGUAUAAAUUACCCUACAGAAAAUGCUGAAUGCAAUUAUACAAGACUUAAACCAGCACCAAGUAGGACAAAGUUUAAGCAAGGUACAUACCACCAGACAAUCCUCCCAGAAUGAGUCUCUCAACAGAACUAUCAAUAUGGAAAUUGGGAUUGCCUGUGGAUUUUUACUUCCCAUACUGCUGCAAAAUUUCAAGCCUUCAUAAUAACCUGCAUACCAGAAAUAAGAACCAGAAUAAGUUAAAAGCAACAGAAUAAUGACAACUAAAUCAUUUAGAGGCCAAAAUCCUAACUGCCUAUUAUUUGCCAAUCAUAAAAGAAAGUAUGUCUGAACUACUGUACUCAUGGUGUAACUGGAUUGCAUGUAGUACAAACUCAAACUAAGUUAACUUCUCUUUUCUUAUAAGAAACAGAGCUCUUAUUAAUGAAAAUAGUGCUACAAGGACGAUAAACGAGAUGUCCAUCUAAAUACUGUUAGCAUCCUCAAUCUCAAACGCAAUUUACAAUAAGAUCAAACUAAGAAUUCAGAGGUCAAGACUCUUAAUUGCCUGAUCUCCAUCAUAAUGAAAAUAGGGAGAAGAGGGAAGGAGGAGGAGGGAACACCAUACAUUUGGAUACCAGGCUUCAUAGGUAAGCUAGCCUUAAGCAGGAAAAUAAAAUGCCAUAUCCAAUACUUGAAAUUUUACUUGAAAUUUUACUUUCUUACAUACAAUUUAUAUGAAGUUAAAAGCCAUCCAACAAAAAAUUGACCUUUAUUACACAUUAGUCAUGAAUGCUACAUCUACAACAUCUUUACUCUAUACCUGACUUGCACAAAGAAUAACUUGCUCUGAAUAUGUGUCUUUACGGUGCCAACCUGAUGCAUCAUUCCUUCCCCACAUGCCCCAGCAAUAGCCCGAGAAACUCCUUCUAAACUACAUUGACAGAUUAAAAAGUCAAUUACCAACUUUCCACUUCCACAGAUAUUUGAAAAUUCUACUAAUCAAAACAUUACAACCGAAUAACCAAACAAAAUUUUUAUACACAUUGUCAUAUACAAUUAUACGUUCACUAAAUAUCAAAAUCCUUGAGUUCUUUUAUUUCCCAACAACAUUUUUUCAUAAUUAAACAGAAUAUUUCCUUUGAUUUCUAACGCUGACUGAAUUAGUUUCUUUAUUACUGAAAAUUUGAAAAAUAAAAAUUGGGUUUUAAGUUGCUUCAAAUUCCAAACAUGCGUAGUUAAACCUAUCAUUAAAAUUCAAUGGAUGCAUUUAGCUAGAAGAUUAAAGUUUUAAUCUUUCAUUAUAAGUUUCACUGCUUGAUGUCUUCCAACGAUCCUAAAAUGUCAGAAUCAAAAUUUUCUUUUUACUUUUUAAAAAUUCUCUCUGUUUCUAGGUCAUAAGAUUCCUAUAAUCGAAAUUAUUAAAGUGGGAAAAUAGAGAAUUGGAAGGCUUACCAAAGGAAAAAGAUAAUGAAAGCCAUGAUUUUUGAUAUGCCAUGUAAUUUGGGAAAAGCAGUCGCAGAGGGAUUUUGAUUUCGCCGUCGAAUCGUCGAUCGCACACCUCUCCCUUUCUCUCUCUCCCGAUCAAUCGUCGAUUGGGCCUGUGGCGUCGAUUGGGCCUCUGCCUCAGGAGACGAGUUUGGGGUGUAGCUUCUUGGACUUUGGAGCUGUUGGGGUUCUCUGUUGGGCUUUGUUUCUAAUCCUUUCCUUGAAUGAAAUUUCAGCUGACAAAAAAUAAAAAUAAAAUAAAAAUGAAUAAUUACGAUGUGUUUGGGAUGUUGUUAUUUCUUGAGGACCCAAAUUAGAAAAACAAGGCAACAGGAUUUAUCCUAGUAGAAAAUAGUUUUGACGUGAAAAACAGUGAUCUCAAUAGCACAUUGAUAGUGUGUGUAAGAAACUCCCUUACUAUUGCUUAUAUUUUUUUAAAAAAGUUUAGCCAAGCACACCAUAAAUUAAAAUUUUGCAACAAUUUUAAAUGAACAACCAAAAUUGAGCUAUGGGGUGAGCAUCAAUCAUGCCAAACUCAUCAAAUCGGCGGAUGAGAAUUAUAGUUACCGGGUUGGUUUGAUUUUGACCCCAAAAAAAAAAAACCUAUUGGUUCAGUUGCGAUUUUGGGCCAUGUUUAGUUAAAUCAUGUUCGAGGAAGAAAUGAUUUUUUUUUAUUUUUAAAAAAUUAAGUUGAAGGUAGAAGAUGGAUUACUCAUGAAGAAAAUUUAUACCAUCUAAUCUUCACAAAAUGGUAGAAUAACAAUAUCUUAUAACUAAUCCCCCAAAAUGGAAAAUUAUUCACCCCUAUCUUCAUUUCCUCCUUUAAUAUAUCUUAGAUUUAGUGACUUUUUCAAUUUAAUCAAAUACUAGUUACUAAAUAUGGUCUUGAUGAUGGCACGUUGAACCAAACCGGCCUAAAUUCAACCAAACCAGUGAAUUAUAUUUUUAUUUUUAUAUUCUUUUAUUUUACACUUGUAGCACUUUCAUUAGAUAAUUACUAGAGAAAGACGGCGAUUUUGAAGUUUGAUGGCACGUUGAAUUCAAGAAUCGAAAAUGUGAAGGACCAAGAGAGAGCCACAGAGUCAAGGGGUUUAGAGUCUUUAGACCGAACAAGGACAUUUCAGUAUAACAUAGUAGGAAGACUGACACUCUUCGUGUCCAGAUUAAGUGGUAGAUAGAGUUCAUGGUUUUGAUGAUGAGAAUGGUGUUUCUGUGGAUGGCAAUGGUGCUGAUUUUGAAGCCAAAAGCAAAAUCUUAGUAGAAGAGUCAAAAAUCGCCAUUAAACCUAAGGUAGAAACGAGUUCUGGAAUUGGUGUUCACACAGGCACCUCAAGGAUCGAUAGCGUUUCAGAAACUACACAGGGGGGCAGUUCAGUUUCAG